Molecule: long non-coding RNA, 496 nt
Organism: Musa acuminata AAA Group (dessert banana)
Lineage: Eukaryota; Viridiplantae; Streptophyta; Magnoliopsida; Zingiberales; Musaceae
Exons: 4
Source: RefSeq, a predicted model, not a curated record
AGUGUCCUUGAAACCAGAGCUUUUCGAGGGAUUGAGGUUUGAUUUUACAAAAGGGAUAAAUCAGAAAUUUUCACUCAGCCACAGCGUUUUCAUGGGCUCUAUGGAAAUGGAAGUUCCAUCACAGUCUUCUGACACAAUCAAAGUUCCUACUGCACAUUACGAAUUUGGCGCCAACUUUCUCGAUCCAAAGGUUGGUUGGCUGAUUUGUUUUUUUUUUUUUUUUGAAGUAGCUACUUGGUGUAAAUGUCUCUUUGAUGGAUACUUAUGAGGCAGUUAUAUAGUUGAUACUUGUUGGAAGAGUAAUGACUGAUGGAAGACUAAAUGCACGAGUAAAAUGUGAUCUGAUCGAUAACCUCACUUUGAAGAUAAAUGCUCAGCUCACAAAUGAACCACAUUUCUCACAGGGAAUGUUUAGCUUUGAUUACAAGGGAAAGGAUUUCAGGACUCAGUUUCAAAUAGGGAAUAAUGCCUUCUAUGGUGCCAAUUGUAUCCAGGU